CCUACGGGGGGCUGCAGUGGGGAAUAUUGGACAAUGGGGGCAACCCUGAUCCAGCCAUGCCGCGUGUGUGAAGAAGGCCUUCGGGUUGUAAAGCACUUUAAGCGGGGAGGAAGGCCUUGAGACUAAUACUCUUGAGGAUUGACGUUACCCGCAGAAUAAGCACCGGCUAACUCUGUGCCAGCAGCCGCGGUAAUACAGAGGGUGCAAGCGUUACUCGGAAUUACUGGAGGUGGUGUGCGCGGACGCGGUUGAAAUCCCCGGGCUCAACCUGGGCACGGCAUCCGAUACUGGCUGACUAGAGUGUGGGAGAGGAAGGUAGAAUUCCAGGUGUAGCGGUGAAAUGCGUAGAGAUCUGGAGGAAUACCGAUGGCGAAGGCAGCCUUCUGGCCUAACACUGACGCUGAGGUGCGAAAGCAUGGGGAGCAAACAGGAUUAGAUACCCUAGUAGUC
This 450-nucleotide ribosomal RNA is filed under the name uncultured bacterium. RNAcentral's name for it is "partial 16S ribosomal RNA". It matches the Rfam family "Bacterial small subunit ribosomal RNA", at positions 338 to 795 of the family's 1533-position model. The record is from RNAcentral.